Molecule: ribosomal RNA, 427 nt
Filed under: uncultured bacterium
Lineage: Bacteria
Description: bacterial SSU rRNA
Rfam family: Bacterial small subunit ribosomal RNA
Source: RNAcentral
UGGGGAAUCUUCCACAAUGGACGAAAGUCUGAUGGAGCAACGCCGCGUGAGUGAAGAAGGUUUUCGAAUCGUAAAGCUCUGUUGUCAGGGACGAAUGUUGAGACUGAGAAUAUUGGUUUCAAAUGACGGUACCUGACGAGGAAGCCACGGCUAACUACGUGCCAGCAGCCGCGGUAAUACGUAGGUGGCGAGCGUUGUCCGGAAUUAUUGGGCGUAAAGGGAGCGCAGGUGGGCUGUCAAGUCUGUCUUAAAAGUGCGGGGCUUAACCCCGUGAUGGGAUAGAAACUGGCAGUCUUGAGUGCAGGAGAGGAAAGCGGAAUUCCUAGUGUAGCGGUGAAAUGCGUAGAUAUUAGGAGGAACACCAGUGGCGAAGGCGGCUUUCUGGACUGUAACUGACACUGAGGCUCGAAAGCCAGGGGAGCGAACG